UACUGUUGUGCAUAUCAAUCAUAGCUCUCUGGGAUGCCGCCAUCCACUCAAAACUGUAGUCACACACCGCUCGUAGGUAGGGAUCAAGUCCGGGAGUAGAAGCACUAGGACCAUCAGAAGCCCGAGUACUUCCUGAGGCUGCACUGCCACCGGUAGUCUUUGGUCUACAAUAUUUAGCCACAUACCGAUCAUCGAUAGGUGCCGGGAUCCUAACCUGCCCACGAGACGGAAGUCUCACCCUUGCCUGAACGCAUAAACUCAUGAUCAAACACGGGAAAGCCAGG
Molecule: long non-coding RNA, 284 nt
Filed under: Lathyrus oleraceus (garden pea)
Lineage: Eukaryota; Viridiplantae; Streptophyta; Magnoliopsida; Fabales; Fabaceae
Description: Pisum sativum (pea) long non-coding RNA (PSAT_LNC000968)
Source: RNAcentral